This is a long non-coding RNA of Xiphias gladius (swordfish), 744 nucleotides long. RefSeq lists it as uncharacterized. The transcript has 2 exons. The record is from RefSeq and is a predicted model, not a curated record. Lineage: Eukaryota; Metazoa; Chordata; Actinopteri; Istiophoriformes; Xiphiidae.
UGCUGUGGAAAUCAGCAGACGGCAUUUUUUAAUUGGACCGCCGAGAGAGGCAGCGGGGUCGAUGGGACACGAUUGGAUGGCAUCGCUCCUCCCGUGUUCUAGAGAGUUCUGAGUGGGAAUGUUGUCGAGGAGGCGCGGCCGCUCCCGCACACCGGCUGACAGCGGGGAUCAGUCGCCCGUCGCACCCGAGAGUCGCCCAGGGAGAGGCCAGCCCGCUGCGUUAGCCACAGCCACUGUCACCAGAGGCCCAUAAGACGACAGUCUUUGAGUUUAACGCAGUUGUUUGACGUGAAAGUUAAACAGAAAAACAACAGGUACAGAAUGAGGCCGCUGACACGCCGGCUCCCCUCGGCCAAGCCAGACUGCGGCUCGCACUCUCAGGAUUUUUCUGGGCAAAAAGUUGCCAGUGUGCCAUGUGGAGAACGGCUCGAAUGGCGUCUUGAGAGCUUUGUGUGCGUGUUACAAGGAAGAGAAAGUAAUGGUCCAGAAAGUUCCCAGCCUCCCGAGUCAGAGGCGACACGCCCUCCUGCGCCGGAGCUGCGGCCGACGGCCAGUGCACUCCCCUGCCCUCAAACGUUAACAAAACUGGGGGAACCGCGGUAUUGUAGGAACGACAGUAGCCGAAUUGAACUGCGUCAGACAUUAUCUUGACCGUGAACUUGCGGUUUUCUCACUUGUGUCUGUCGUGCAAAAAUAAAAAUGCAAGUUCGAUUUCGCGCAAACCUACGCGCAAAAAGACAGAGA